CAUAUGAACAUGCAGCAUGCAUAUGCAUAUAAGAUUUUAGCACCAAAAAGAAACACAAAAAGCUUCAAGAGAAUUUAAUCAAAGUACUUACAAGAAGACGACUUGCAGCAGCAACAGUCUUCAUGGAACGCGAGUAAGACAUGGCCGAGGAUGUUGUUGUCACCUUGUUCCAGGGCCGAGGACGUCUGGACCUAGAGUUUUCACUGAGCAAUUUGUCUUGGAGGCAUUUCAUCGAGCAGCUACUGGGCGUCGUCCAUGUCAACAGCCGCUCCGACUGGAGGGAGGCGCAGGGACGAGGAGGAUAAGCACCCUUCCUCUAGCCACGGGCACUCCGGGCAGUGCGGCUGGUCAAUUGCCCAGGUGCCUCGUGCGGCCGCCUCGAGCCCUCGAGUCCUCGACCACCAGGUGCCUGUGCCUCACGCCUUGUCCUUGCUGGUCGCGGGCUCGCGGCCCUCGUACUCAAAGUGCACGGCAUAGGAGCGCUUCUGUUAGGGACUCCCCACUACCGCCAUAGCUGCCGCCUGGACGAGCGCCGCCAGCAAGCUCGUCACAUGGAGUCGCGGCUGAGAGGCAGGGAAGGGGCGACGGCCGAC
This 593-nucleotide long non-coding RNA is filed under the name Setaria viridis. RNAcentral's name for it is "long non-coding RNA (SVIR_LNC005219)". Lineage: Eukaryota; Viridiplantae; Streptophyta; Magnoliopsida; Poales; Poaceae. The record is from RNAcentral.